Molecule: long non-coding RNA, 465 nt
Filed under: Physcomitrium patens
Lineage: Eukaryota; Viridiplantae; Streptophyta; Bryopsida; Funariales; Funariaceae
Description: long non-coding RNA (PPAT_LNC005182)
Source: RNAcentral
GAAAUAUUAAAAUAAUCACAAAUAUCUCUCAAAUAUAUCUCAAUUCAAUCUUAACUUAAUCUUAGUUAAAAUCUUAUUGGACUUCAUUCAAAAUUUAGGUCCAAAUUAAUUAAAUCUUAAAUCCUAAAUAAAUCCUAAUAAAAUCCUAAACCAAACCCUAAUCAAAUCUUAAACCCAAAUCCUAAAUCUUAAAUCCUAAACCAAAUCCCAAACUCUAAUUCAAACCCUAAAUCCUAAACCAAAUCCUAACUAAAUCUUAAAUCCUAAAUCAAACCCUAACCAAAUCCUAAACCUUAAAUUAAAUCCUAACCAAAUCCUAAACCCUAAAUCAAAUCCUAAUCCAAAUCCUAAAUUCUAAAUCCUAAACCAAAUCCUAAAUCCUAAAUCCUAAAUCAAAUCCUAAUCCAAACCCUAAUCAAACAUUAAACCAAUCCUAAACCAAAUCCUAACCAAUUCCUAACCAAA